GACGAACGCCGGCGGCGUGCUUAACACAUGCAAGUCGAACGGUAAGGCCCCAGCUUGCUGGGGUACACGAGUGGCGAACGGGUGAGUAACACGUGGGUGACCUGCCCCGCACUUCGGGAUAAGCCUGGGAAACUGGGUCUAAUACCGGAUAGGACCGCACCGUUCGGGUGUGGUGGAAAGUUUUUCGGUGUGGGAUGGGCCCGCGGCCUUUCAGCUUGUUGGUGGGGUAAUGGCCUACCAAGGCGGCGACGGGUAGCCGGCCUGAGAGGGUGGACGGCCACAUUGGGACUGAGACCCGGCCCAGACUCCUACGGGAGGCAGCAGUGGGGAAUAUUGCACAAUGGGCGGAAGCCUGAUGCAGCGACGCCGCGUGGGGGAUGACGGCCUUCGGGUUGUAAACUCCUUUCACCAUCGACGAAGGUUUUCUGACGGUAGAUGGAGAAGAAGCACCGGCUAACUACGUG
This 464-nucleotide ribosomal RNA is filed under the name uncultured bacterium. RNAcentral's name for it is "partial 16S ribosomal RNA". It matches the Rfam family "Bacterial small subunit ribosomal RNA", at positions 28 to 507 of the family's 1533-position model. The record is from RNAcentral.